GUCUCGAUCCAGGUCCUCCUGGUCCAAAUUCUCCUCCUGGCCCAAAUGGUCCUCCUGGUCCAAAUGGUCCUCCUGGUCCAAAUGGUCCUCCAGGUCCACUGUUUUCUGGUCCAAAUUCUCCUCCUGGUCCAAAUGGUCCCCCUGGUCCAAAUGGUCCCCCAGGUCCAAAUGGUCCUCCUGGUCCUGAUCCAGGUCCUCCUGGUCCAAAUUCACCUCCUGGUCCAAAUGGUCCUCCAGGUCCAAAUGGUCCCCCUGGUCCAAAUGGUUCUCCACCAGGUCCGUGUCCCGGUCCAAAUUGUCCUCCUGGUCCAAAUGGUCCUCCAGGUCCAAAUGGUCCCCCAGGUCCAAAUGGUCCUCCUGGUCCUGAUCCAGGUCCCCCUGGUCCAAAUUGUCCUCCUGGUCCAAAUGGUUGCCCAGGUCCAAAUGGUCCUCCUGGUCCUGAUCCAGGUCCUCCAUGUCCAAGUCCAAGUGGGAAUCCAUGACCAUCUGGUCCAAAUCCUGAUCCAUCCCCAGGACCAAGUCCAUUAGGUCCAAGUCCAUGUCCUGCAGGCAGUCCAUUUGGUCCUAAUCCAUUACCUCCUGGUCCUAGUCCAUUACCGCCUGGACCUAAUCCAUUGCCAGGUCCAAACCCAUUAGGCCCACCUAAUCCAUGAGGCCAUGGACCAUUUUGACCAGAA
Molecule: long non-coding RNA, 677 nt
Filed under: Mytilus galloprovincialis (Mediterranean mussel)
Lineage: Eukaryota; Metazoa; Mollusca; Bivalvia; Mytilida; Mytilidae
Source: RNAcentral